This 234-nucleotide small nucleolar RNA is filed under the name Penicillium rubens Wisconsin 54-1255. RNAcentral's name for it is "Penicillium chrysogenum Wisconsin 54-1255 Small nucleolar RNA snR32". It matches the Rfam family "Small nucleolar RNA snR32". The record is from Rfam by way of RNAcentral. Lineage: Eukaryota; Fungi; Ascomycota; Eurotiomycetes; Eurotiales; Aspergillaceae.
AACAUCAUUAAAACUCCGCUCGUCAGCAGUUUCUUCCUCUUUUCUUUUUUCUUCUUCAAUUUCACGCCAGCCUACAAUGUGUGUAAACAUGUUAUUAUCGACAACUUCCGUCAUUCCAUGGCAAAGUUGUCUACUCGUUGAGCGGAGAAUAACUUGACCCGUUGCUGGGCACCUGGAUUUGAGAGGUCAUUCUGAUCCUUUCGGAUUCUCUGGGAAUCAGCUGUGGUCACACUC